Non-coding RNA from Trichonephila clavipes, 78 nucleotides. The record is from the annotation of a GenBank genome assembly. Lineage: Eukaryota; Metazoa; Arthropoda; Arachnida; Araneae; Nephilidae.
GUCCCUGUAGCGCCAUGGAUAGUGCGUUGGACUUCUAAUCCAAAUAUCGUAGGUUCGAAUCCUACCCCUGGGUUGACA